This 4049-nucleotide long non-coding RNA is filed under the name Salmo salar (Atlantic salmon). Its description in RNAcentral is "lncRNA (ENSSSAG00000096063.1)". Lineage: Eukaryota; Metazoa; Chordata; Actinopteri; Salmoniformes; Salmonidae. The record is from RNAcentral.
AGCGUGAAGCCAAAAGAGAGAUAAAGUUGUAACAUUGGUUUUAAUCUUACGAUAGAGAUUUUGUGUCCAACAGGUGAAUCACAAGAGAAGGGGAUUCACUCAGUACAACCAGGAGACUGGGCGUGGAUCCAGUCCCUGAGGAGAAAAGACGGGAAGCAGCCCCGUUGGGAAGGCCCAUACCAGGUGCUGUUAAACCAUUGCCUUUGCCAUUAGAAAAGCUGAGAGAGUCACUUGGGUCCACGUUAUCCACUGCAAGAAGGUAUGUACACAUAUGACCACUGCUGAUCACACACAGAGUUAGGAGAAGAACCGAGUACCAACAGGGUCCGGGGGCUACCUCCUUAAAACCUGUUAGGGCUAGGGGGCAGUAUUGACACGGCCGGAUAAAAAACGUACCCGAUUUAAUCUGGUUACUACUCCUGUCCAGUAACUAGAAUAUGCAUAUAAUUAUUGGCUUUGGAUAGAAAACACCCUAAAGUUUCUAAAACUGUUUGAAUGGUGUCUGUGAGUAUAACAGAACUCAUAUGGCAGGCCAAAACCUGAGAAGAUUCCAUGCAGGAAGUGGCCUGUCUGACAAGUUGUUUCAUCUUGGCUCUUUUUAUUGAAGACUGAGGAUCUUUGCUAUAACGUGACACUUCCUACGGCUCCCAUAGGCUCUCAGAGCCCGGGAAAAAGCUGAACGAUAUCGAGGCAGGCUCUUGCUGAAACACAUUAUCGCUUUUGGCAAGUGGCCGAUCAGAGUACUAUGGGCUUAGGCGCAUGACCGAGUCGACCCCAUGCUUUAUUUUCUUUCGUCUGUUUACCUAAACACAGAUUCCCGGUCGGAAUAUUAUCGCUUUUUUAUGAAAAAAAUUGCAUAAAAAUUGAUUUUAAACAGCGGUUGACAUGCUUCGAAGUACGGUAAUGGAAUAUUUAGAAAUUUUUUGUCACGAAUUGCGCCAUGCUCGUCACCCUUAUUUACCCUUUGUUCGUGUCUUGAACGCACGAACAAAACGCCGCAAUUUGGAUAUAACAAUGGAUUAUUUGGGACCAAACCAACAUUUGUUAUUGAAGUAGAAGUCCUGGGAGUGCAUUCUGACGAAGACAGCAAAGGUAAUAACAUUUUUCUUAUAGUAGUAAAUCUGACUUUGGUGAGUGCUAAACUUGCUGGGUGUCUAAAUAGCUAGCCAUGUGAUGCCGGGCUAUCUACUGAGAAUAUUGCAAAAUGUGCUUUCACCGAAAAGCUAUUUUAAAAUCGGACAUAUCGAGUGCAUAGAGGAGUUCUGUAUCUAUAAUUCUUAAAAUAAUUGUUAUGCUUUUUGUGAACGUUUAUCGUGAGUAAUUUAGUAAAUUCACCGGCAGUGUUCGGUGGGAAUGCUAGUCACCUGCUAGUCACAUGCUAAUGUAAAAACCUGUUUUUUGAUAUAAAUAUGAACUUGAUUGAACUUGAUUGAACAAAACAUGCAUGUAUUGUAUAACAUAAUGUCCUAGGGUCGUCAUCUGAUGAAGAUCAUCAAAGGUUAGUGCUGCAUUUAGCUGUGGUUUGGGUUUAUGUGACAUUAUAUGCUAGCUUGAAAAAUGGGUGUCUGAUUAUUUCUGGCUGGGUACUCUGCUGACAUAAUCUAAUGUUUUGCUUUCGUUGUAAAGCCUUUUUGAAAUCGGACAGUGUGGUUAGAUUAACGAGUGUCUUGUCUUUAAAAUGUUGUAAAAUAGUCAUAUGUUUGAAAAAUUUAUGUUUUUGCAUUUUUGAGGUAUUUGAAUAACGCGCCACGGGAUUACACUGGCUGUUGAGUAGGUGGGACGCAAGCGUCCCACCUAGCCCAUAGAGGUUAACGAAGAUUUCCUAUCCCGACCGUUCAUCACUGUUUGUGCUCCUAGAGGUGUGAGUAUGGGGUGGUACCUAGCAGAGAGACUUAGGGUCUGGAGAAGGUUUGCGGUUUUUGGGAAGAGUAGAGACUCUGAGCUGCAUCAUAGUCUAAUCUUUCUGAUACAUUCAGAUCCACCACCUUCUGGUACUAAUCAUACAAUACCGUUGUCAUUGAGAAAAAGUAGAAGAUAAACUAUAUAAUACACUGAUGAGUGACUUACAGAAUGAGGAGUCAAAGAAGAUCAAGAUGUAGGAUUUAAAGUAAACAUUAAACAACUUCCUGGGAAAGCAGACAACUGUACAGGGACUGGGUGGGUCAGAUUGAAGUGCUCGGCCAACCCACCUAGGUUCACUUAAAUUCCUGAUGAGCACCAGUGUUAUAAAUACAAGAAUGGCACCGAGAACUUGGAUGAUUUUAAUAGCUGGAAAGUAAUUGUUAAUGUGACUGACUUAGGUUUGAAAGAUGAAUAGAAAAUUCUUAACCUCACAGCACCUAUAACUGAUGUAGGGUGGGCUAUUACCAGCAAAGGACGCAUACAACAGAAAUGACCACAAAGGGUGGUUAGGAACUUGCGCCCAGGGGUUAUUGGUCCAACCAGUUCGAAUUAGUUAUCAGAGGCCAGUUAUAGGAGGCUAAAGUAGGCACAGGAGGAGUUUUGACCAGGAUGGGAGUAGCUUUAUGUAGAUGGAUGCUAUUGGCAUCCUCAGGGAAGUUCCAGAAGAAUACAAAGCUAUGAAUCAAAUAUGUGAAGGCUUUAACACUACAUUAUUUUGGUGGUUGACAAUAAAUACAAAUGUGGAUUGAAUUAAUGACAUCUUUUAUAAUCAACAGAGAUUCAUGAAUGAAACCGGGGAUGCAGUAAAGAGGUUCUCUGACCAAUUAUCCGCCACCUCCCUCAUGACCUGGUAAAAUAGACUGACUCUCGAUAUGUUAUUGGCAAAAGAGGAUGGUGUAGGUAGAAUGAUUAGGUUCAUUGCUGUACGUACAUUCCUGAUAACACAGCUCAUGUUUGUGAAAUGGAAAAGUGUUGUAAGAACUGUAUUAUGGGCUGCUUUCACCUGUAUGAGGUUUAAUCACCAGAACUCUAGAGAGAUCGAUAACGGAGCAAAUAGUGAGAUACAGAUCGAGUCAAAGUUCAGACCAAUGGGAUGACAAAUACCUACCGCCGAGCCAGGUGGAGGAUUCAUUCAAUUAUGAGGAGCCCAUGUUAGAUGAGACCAUCUUUAGAGUUUCCUGAAUUAGUUUGAUUUUGUGUGAAAUUUCUGAAUCCAAUAAAAAUAGAUGUGUUAUAAUGUAUGUGAAAUAUCUAGCAAAACGGGUGGAUUGUAAUGGAAAUUAUAUGAUUUUAAGCCCUACUGGGACUUGACAAGCUAUCUGCUGAAAUGAAGGGUGUAGCGGGGGUAGACGAGGGGAAUUGGAUGAAUAACUUUUUUGGCAAGUAUACAUCUAGGGUGGUUACUGGAUUUCUGACCCUAGUGCUUGUGUUCCUAUUAUUGAUAUGUUGUGCUGCUUGUAUAAUCCCUUGAUUAAGAAAGUCUUUCACAGAUGUUGUCAGAGCAACCUCUGGGCAAAAGAUGGGUCUGUUUGAGGACGAUCCUUGGUUUGCUGUUGAGGAAGUGGUUGAAUAAAGCUUAUCCAAAAUGUUCUCAUAUGUAUUGAAUGUAGUGGCAGGUGGAUGAGAAGGUUUUAAGUUCUGAGACAAAGAGUCUGUCCCACACAUGUUAGGUGUAGCCACUGCCGCAAGAAGGUCUUCUUUUUAUACGUUUUUUAAAUAAUAUGUUCUGAAUUUAUCCUGUAUACUAUUUGUCUUUCCUUAUGUGAAGGUUUGAAGUUCCUGGGUGACUGGUAGUCAACCUAGUACAAGUGAGGUGUAGCUGGAAGGAUGUGAGGGUUUUUAACUAAUUAUCUAAUCAUUAAAAUGGAGAUAUACAAAUUGUGUUGAGUGACACCCUAAGGGGUGUCAAAAGGGGGAAUCCUACAUUUCUCUGAAAUGUCUUAUUGGAGUAUGUUCACACCCCAGGGGGUGUGAAAGGGGGGAUUGUUAGGGUUGAACUGGCUAUUUGUUUGCAUAACCUAUAUAAUAUAACGGAGAAGCUAUGCUACAAUAUUAAGUAUAUAAACUAUGGAUAAGUCAACUGCUGAAGACAAGAACUACACCCGGCAACAGGAAGUGCGUCACGAGGUUGGGACCAGCCUGCACGC